RNAcentral lists this ribosomal RNA (741 nucleotides) under uncultured bacterium. RNAcentral's name for it is "bacterial SSU rRNA". It matches the Rfam family "Bacterial small subunit ribosomal RNA", at positions 66 to 792 of the family's 1533-position model. The record is from RNAcentral.
ACGGAGAAAGGGGCUUGCUCCUUAUUUUAGUGGCGCACGGGUGAGUAACGCGUGGAUAAUCUGCCUGAUGCUCUGGGAUAACAUCUCGAAAGGGGUGCUAAUACCGGAUAAGCCCACGGGAUCUUCGGAUUUUGCGGGAAAAGGAGGGGACCUUCGGGCCUUCCGACAUCAGAUGAGUCCGCGUCCCAUUAGCUAGUUGGUGGUGUAAUGGACCACCAAGGCGACGAUGGGUAGCUGGUCUGAGAGGAUGAUCAGCCACACUGGAACUGAGACACGGUCCAGACUCCUACGGGAGGCAGCAGUGGGGAAUUUUGCGCAAUGGGGGAAACCCUGACGCAGCAACGCCGCGUGAGUGAUGAAGGCUUUCGGGUCGUAAAGCUCUGUCAGAAGGGAAGAAAUGUGGGUGGCUAAUAUCCAUUCCACUUGACGGUACCUUCAAAGGAAGCACCGGCUAACUCCGUGCCAGCAGCCGCGGUAAUACGGAGGGUGCGAGCGUUGUUCGGAAUUAUUGGGCGUAAAGCGCGUGUAGGCGGUUUUUUAAGUCUGAUGUGAAAGCCCUGGGCUCAACCUGGGAAGUGCAUUGGAUACUGGAAGACUUGAGUACGGGAGAGGGUAGUGGAAUUCCUAGUGUAGGAGUGAAAUCCGUAGAUAUUAGGAGGAACACCGGUGGCGAAGGCGGCUGCCUGGACGAUACUGACGCUGAGACGCGAAGCGUGGGAGCAAACAGAUAGAUACCUGGUA